Molecule: ribosomal RNA, 508 nt
Filed under: uncultured bacterium
Lineage: Bacteria
Description: partial 16S ribosomal RNA
Rfam family: Bacterial small subunit ribosomal RNA
Source: RNAcentral
AUUGAACGCUGGCGGCAUGCCUUACACAUGCAAGUCGAACGGCAGCGGGGGAGAAGCUUGCUUUUCCUGCCGGCGAGUGGCGAACGGGUGAGUAAUACAUCGGAACGUGCCCUGUAGUGGGGGAUAACUAGUCGAAAGAUUAGCUAAUACCGCAUACGACCUGAGGGUGAAAGUGGGGGACCGCAAGGCCUCAUGCUAUAGGAGCGGCCGAUGUCUGAUUAGCUAGUUGGUGGGGUAAAGGCCUACCAAGGGGACGAUCAGUAGCUGGUCUGGGAGGACGAUAAGCCACCAUGGGACUGAGACACGGCCCAGACUCCUACGGGGAGCAGCAGUGGGGAAUUUUGGACAAUGGGCGAAAGACUGAUCCAGCAAUGCGGCGUGUGUGAAGAAGGCCUUCGGGUUGUAAAGCACUUUUGUCCGGAAAGAAAUGGCUCUGGUUAAUACCUGGGGUCGAUGACGGUACCGGAAGAAUAAGGACCGGCUAACUACGUGCCAGCCGCCGCCGUAA